GUAACAUAUUCAUCACAGAGGACAACGACAUCAGGUUAGGUGAUUUUGGAUUAGGAAAAUUGCUAGAUGCAGAAGGCCUUGCUUCCUCGGUAUCUGGCACACCAAACGACAUGUUCCCUGAGCUCCUUGCCGGCAUACCCUAUGGCUAUAAAUCUGAUAUAUGGUCGCUUGGUAAGAAAUAAGAAUGUUGAUGAAGCAAUGUAUUUCAGCUCUUUACAUCAUGUCCCUAAUACUAACACUUUAAU
Molecule: long non-coding RNA, 245 nt
Organism: Capsicum annuum
Lineage: Eukaryota; Viridiplantae; Streptophyta; Magnoliopsida; Solanales; Solanaceae
Exons: 3
Source: RefSeq, a predicted model, not a curated record